ACGAUGACAUGCUGUAUUGGCACAAGCACGGGGAUGGAUGGAAGACCCCCGUCCCCAUGGAGGAGGAUCCCCUGCUGGACACAGACAUGCUCAUGUCGGAAUUCAGCGACACCCUCUUCUCCACACUUUCUUCACACCAGCCGGUGGCCUGGCCCAAUCCCCGGGAAAUAGCACAUCUGGGAAAUGCAGACAUGAUCCAGCCGGGACUGAUUCCUUUGCAGCCUAACCUGGACUUCAUGGACACCUUUGAGCCUUUCCAGGGAGAGCAUCCUGCCGACCACAGCCCUCCCCACUGUGAGCCUUCCUGACAGCCUCAUCGCGCCCCCUACCGCCCCAUCCCUGGCUCACAUGGAUGGGCAGGGCUGUGAACACACCUCCCGGACUGAGGACCCGUUUAUCCAGCCCACGGACUUCGGUCCCUCAGAGCCGCCACUGAGUGUCCCGCAGCCCUUCCUCCCUGUCUUCACCAUGCCCCUGCUGUCUCCCAGCCCCGCCCCACCGCCCAUCUCCCCCGUGUUACCAUUAGUUCCUCCUCCUGCCACUGCCCUGAACCCCCCGGCUCCACCCACCUUCCAUCAGCCGCAGAAGGUUGCUGGAGUCAACAAAGCGCCGUCUGUCAUCACCCACACGGCCUCUGCCACCCUCACCCACGAUGCCCCCGCCACCACCUUCAGCCAGAGUCAGGGCCUUGUGAUCACCACCCAUCACCCUGCCCCGUCAGCGGCCCCUUGUGGGCUGGCACUGUCUCCUGUCACCCAGCCUCCCCAGCCACGGUUAACUUUUGUGCACCCCAAACCUGUAUCCUUGACUGGGGGCAGGCCUAAGCAGCCCCACAAAAUAGUGCCUGCUCCCAAACCAGAGCCCGUGUCCUUGGUGUUGAAGAAUGCCCGCAUCGCCCCAGGUGAGCCAGGCGGGGAGACUCAGUGCGGGGCUCCCCCCGACCCAGAGGGAUGUUUUCCCAUCCCAAAGGCUUUCAAACUUGUGACCACCACCACCACCCUGGUGUGCACGUGCAUGCGCACACACAUACACUUAAAUGAAACAAAAGUGUCAUGAAAUAAUACAUGGCCAUGAUCUA
Molecule: small RNA, 1078 nt
Filed under: Pan troglodytes (chimpanzee)
Lineage: Eukaryota; Metazoa; Chordata; Mammalia; Primates; Hominidae
Description: retained intron
Source: RNAcentral